GUCUCCGUGGCUUGGUCGGGAGAACAUCCGACUAUGGUGCGGUAGAACUCGGGUUCUAUCCCCGGUGAAGACA
This is a non-coding RNA of Henosepilachna vigintioctopunctata, 73 nucleotides long. The record is from the annotation of a GenBank genome assembly. Lineage: Eukaryota; Metazoa; Arthropoda; Insecta; Coleoptera; Coccinellidae.